AGCGUCUGCAGACGGAAAGCCACGCGCGUGCGUGAAGAUGCGUCAUUAAUAACGGAAAGCUGCGCUGUGGCGGUUGACUUUGCUCCCUCUAGUUCUCUUGGGCAGCGUUUCCGCGCUGCCCGGGACACAGCGGUCCCGCAGGGAGCACAUCGGGACUAAAAAGCGCCGAUGAGAGAGCGGAGUGUGUCGUAAUGGCUGGGCCGUGCCAGGGACAGCCAAAAGAGCUCGUGCCCAAAGUAAUCCCCCGUCCAUCGACAGCAGCCGGUUGAUGCUCUAGCAGCGCAGUCCCAGCUGCCUGUGCUUCAUGAAAUGGCCUUGGGCAGGCAUAAGGAACACUUGUGGUCAAAUAAGGAGGGAUCUUGUAGCCUCAGGAUAAGUAGGAGGAUGAAGAAACAGCAGCUCGAAGGGCUGGAAGGAAGUAAUUCUUCGCUAACAGCUGGCUCUGUCACUGAUUCUGCUAUUGUAGACAGGUCAGUCUACAAAUUAUGGGGGAAAUGACCUCCUCCAGACUAAAAGCUUAAUGUGAAAGAAAUAGUGUAGGUGUGAAAAAUGCAGUUGUGAUUCGUGCUAAGAUGUUUAAUGUUUACAGGUAUAACCAAAUGAGGCACGGACCCUGAACUUGGAAAAGGGAAAGGUGGUUAAGUUCUAUGUAAAAAGUUAUGAAACUUGUUUAGGAAGCUAUAUUGAUAUUGGGAACUAACAUUUUAAGGGUUAAGCAACUAUAUAAUAAGGGCCUACUAACAAGCUAACAUUUUAAACCACAUAAUUAAUAUCUAGUUUAGAGCUGUAUGUAACUAAUUGUGCUAAAAAAAGGAGAAAAAAAAAGUAGGACUUCAUUAAAUGCCGAGAUAAGAAGUUUUACAGAACCAGCUGUGUAACCUUGAGGAGACAAGAUAGCCAAGAUUUACAGCAAAAAGGAGGCACCAGCCUGGUUCCAGUCGGUUUGGUAGCUUGGAUUCCAGCCAGUUCCUUCUAAUGAGCCAAAGUCAUGCCAGUACAGCCAGAUAGGGACAAGAUAGAAGGGAUCUUCUCCAGUCUGUAUCACUCAAUUCUACAACUGCUUUGUUUUCUUCUCUGUGCUGUGGGAACCAGUGAUUUCUUGAAAAACAUAUGGAUCUUUUGGCUGGGGGAGAACAGCCUGAGGUGCAAUGCUAACCCAUAGCAGACAGGUAUUCAGCUGUUCUCCACCACCCACCUGAGCAACUCCAAUGGCUCUGCUGUUUGCAUCCCCCACUGGUAUACAGCUUCCAUGGGAAUUAUUACAGCAGCUUGACUCAUUUUACUGGAGCGUAGAACUGCUAACAUAUGGUCAUCAGCCUUCUCACUGCAAGCAACCAGACAGCCCAAGAAGUGGAGGUGGGAUCACAGAACAAAAUCCAGAAACCAAUACUCUUAUGUGGAGCCUCAGUUUUCUAAUCUAAGGCAGAAUUUAACAGUCUGCAGCUGUCCUAUUCUACUCAAGUUGGUUAUAGUCAGGAAUACAGCCAUGCUGGUUGAAAAUAGCUAACAGAAAGGAUUGUCUAGCAACCAUAACCUGCAUUGCUCUCUCCUUCGUGCUAUGUAAAGGUAGACAGGGCAAGUAAAAUCAGUUUUAUGACUGCUCUAUUCUCCCACAGUGGUGGCAUACAGGCUGUUGGCACUUAUUCUGUGCAGCAGGCAGAAGAGGACUGAAUUCUGUCCCAAGGAAUAAUUUUGCUGCCUUUACCUUUCUGUAAUAUGCUGAGAGAAUAAUAAACCAACAGUAUUACACCAAGUGCCACAUAAAAA
Long non-coding RNA from Columba livia (rock pigeon), 1767 nucleotides. RefSeq lists it as uncharacterized. The transcript has 3 exons. The record is from RefSeq and is a predicted model, not a curated record. Lineage: Eukaryota; Metazoa; Chordata; Aves; Columbiformes; Columbidae.